CCUACGGGCGGCAGCAGUGAGGAAUAUUGGACAAUGGGGGAAACCCUGAUCCAGCGACGCCGCGUGAGGGAAGACGUAUUUCGGUACUUUAAGCUGUAUCAGCAGGAAAGUAAAUGACGGUACCUGACUAAGAAGCAGCGGCUAACUACGUGCCAGAAGCCGCGGUAAUACGUGGGGGGCACGCGUGAUCCGGAUUUACUGGGUGUAAAGGGAGCGUAGACGGCAGCGCAAGUCUGCAGUGAAAGGCCGGGGCCCAACCCCGGAACUGCUGUUGAAACUGUGAAGCUGGAGUGCAGGAGGGGUAAGCGGAAUUCCUGGUGUAGCGGUGAAAUGCUUAGAUAUCAGGAGGAACACCGGUGGCGAAGGCGGCUUACUGGACUGCAACUGACGUUGAGGCUCGAAGGCGUGGGGAGCAAACAGGAUUAGAUACCCCAGUAGUC
This 440-nucleotide ribosomal RNA is filed under the name uncultured bacterium. RNAcentral's name for it is "partial 16S ribosomal RNA". It matches the Rfam family "Bacterial small subunit ribosomal RNA", at positions 338 to 795 of the family's 1533-position model. The record is from RNAcentral.